Molecule: ribosomal RNA, 377 nt
Filed under: uncultured bacterium
Lineage: Bacteria
Description: bacterial SSU rRNA
Rfam family: Bacterial small subunit ribosomal RNA
Source: RNAcentral
AUACGGAGGGGGCGAGCGUUGUUCGGAAUCACUGGGCGUAAAGGGCGCGUAGGCGGUUAUGCUAGUCAGGUGUGAAAUCCCCAGGCUUAACUUGGGAACUGCGCUUGAAACUGCAUAGCUUGAGGCCGGGAGAGGAAAGUGGAAUUCCUGGUGUAGCGGUGAAAUGCGUAGAUAUCAGGAGGAACACCGGUGGCGAAGGCGGCUUUCUGGACCGGUUCUGACGCUGAAGCGCGAAAGCGUGGGGAGCAAACGGGAUUAGAUACCCCGGUAGUCCACGCUGUAAACGAUGAGCACUAGGUGUAGCGGGUAUCGACCCCUGCUGUGCCGCAGCUAACGCAAUAAGUGCUCCGCCUGGGGAGUACGGUCGCAAGACUGAA